This is a long non-coding RNA of Monomorium pharaonis (pharaoh ant), 1535 nucleotides long. RefSeq lists it as uncharacterized. The record is from RefSeq and is a predicted model, not a curated record. The transcript is spliced from 2 exons. NCBI's taxonomy places the organism in Eukaryota, Metazoa, Arthropoda, Insecta, Hymenoptera, Formicidae.
GGAUGCGGUGCGGUGGUUUCGCCAUGCUACAUGAAUGUGAAUAUGAAUAUUGAUAUGAUGAUGUCGGGAAGUUUUGAAAUUGCCUUCAUUUUCCAAUGAUGGAUUCUUCAUCAAUCUUCAUCUCUUUUUUAAGACUUCACGCAUUAUAGGUGCAGAUGACGCAUAUGAGUAUUUCUGUGAAAAUUCUAGAUCUAACCACACGAUCACAAUUUCAGCCCUUGAUCGAUGGCUUGCCACGACGUCAGUUAAACUUUGCCAUACAUACUGCUUAUUCCGCAAACAUGAAAUGACUGCCAAUUAAGAUUAAUGUUGUGGAUAGCAUGAGAAAAUUAUGUGAUUAAUACGAAACGUGAAUAAAGUGUACUGCAUAUUAGCGUAAAUAUAAACUAUGUAAUGUAAGUUAUUAAAAUAAAUAUUUUAUAUAUUAUUAUAUAAUAUAAAUAUAAUAUAAAUAUAAUCUAAAUAUAAAUAUUAAGCAAUAAUAAGCAUUUGUAACGUGCAUUCUACAUAAUUUCUUGUUGAUUCUUGUUGAUUUGAAACUGUUUAUAUCAAUUACAUUUUUGGCAACUGUAGUUGCCACACAAAAGUUACAUUAAUUAUGUUGCAGAAUGCAAGUAUAUAAAAAUAAUCAAUAUUUUGGCGCUAUAUGACAAUUUAAUUGCAACAUUACCUAUACUCUUAAAAAUAAUACAUUAUUGAAAGGACCAUAUUUUAUAGUGUUACUUGGACAUAUUUUGGUGUUAAAAUUUAUGAAAAAUAAUUAUUAAAUGUCGCAGAUUGCAUAUGCUAAUAUAUUAUACUUAAUGUAAAAGGAUGAUUAAUAUAUUAUAGAAAUAUGCGUAAACGCGUGGUCAAAAGGUCUUUGUAGUCUACGUAGAGAUUUAAUGGACGAUAACCGAUAUUCUAACUAGUCCAUCAGGAAUCGUGGACAUAUCGAUCAAUUUCAGAUGAUAAUUAUCGGUGCACUCACAUGGAACACAGACGCUAUAAUUUUAUUAACUAAUGUAAUACUACGCCACCGAGUCGCCUUUGAUAUUAAUUGUGCAUGCCAUUACAACAUUAUUUGAAUAUAUUUAGCGCAAUCUUUUCUUGAAAUAUUCUGGUACCAUGCAAUAAGUAUUGAAAACAAAAUUUCUUAUUAUAUUAUGUAUACAUAUAUAUUUACAUUAUAUUUUUAUCAAGUUAUUUUCUUGUGUAUGAACUGUGUUAUAUUGUGUGAGUUUAUGCAAUCUAUUGUAUAGAUUGGCUAUAUAUAUAUAUUGACUUAUUAUAUUAUAUUUAUUAAGCUGCUACUUUAAUACUGAUUAAUUUUAUUUCUUCUGAUAUAAACUGUGAUUAAUGUUACAAAAUGUAAUUUUUUUUUUGAUCUAUUAUCAUUCAAUUUUUUACUCUGGAUAUACAUGUGAUUAAAACGUCGCUUCCUUUUUAUCCGUCCAUUUAUAAUAUCUAUUUAUAUUCUAAUAAUAACUUUAUUGAUUAUAUGAUAUACUUAACUCUUUUCUCGCCAAAAAAUAAAGUAUUUCUAACACAUUGCA